Poecilia latipinna (sailfin molly) is the source of this 351-nucleotide long non-coding RNA. RefSeq lists it as uncharacterized. The transcript has 3 exons. The record is from RefSeq and is a predicted model, not a curated record. Lineage: Eukaryota; Metazoa; Chordata; Actinopteri; Cyprinodontiformes; Poeciliidae.
CGUCUGCUUCAAAAACCCGACUCCAUAGAGUCUACUCUCUCCAGUGAAGAGGAGCCCAUUGUGUGAGAUGAGAGUUGGAUUGGAUGGCUCCCUGGGGAGCUGCUCUCCAUUAGCUAAGGUGAUCUAACAGGGCAGGAGGUUCGGGGACGCUUCAUGGUACGACGGGACAUGAAUCACUUUAAUAGACACCCAUCCCUUCUGGAAACGUGUCUAUCAACGGAUAUUAAAAGGGGAACUCCAGGUUAAGCUAGCUAAAAUAUCUGCCCAUAAACUGAUAUGGGGAACAGCCUAUUGGCAACUGUAUUGCUUCCUCAAACUGAUAUGUUAAAACCCAUUUCACCAUUAUGAGGA